CCACCCGGGACCUCCUUCUCGCAUGGCAGGCGACUUCAGCUUGAGGCUGAGGCUGCAGAGCCCGACCUGCCAGAGGGGACCUGUAAGUGGCAGGAGCCCCAGCUGGCUCUGGGCUUCCUCCUGGUCCAGCUCGUGGGGAGUUCUGGCUGCGUCGGUGGCAGCAGUGCCAUUUCUUCCCCGUGCCGCCUCUGGUGGGAAGACAGUGAGGCACUGAGGAAUAGCUUCGUGGAGUGAAAUGAACGUGAGCAGAGGGAGGCAGCGGUGACAGGUACCCCCGGCGCCGUUCCUGUGUGUUGGUCUGAGUAGGGGUCUCCCCACGGGUGCCUCCCCGGGGGACAGGACUCUCCAGAGGUAGCUGGCCUUCCUGGGCCUGCCAGGAGUACGUGUGGGGAAUAAAGUGGGUUUCAGAUCGGCUUUGGACAGAAGCGUGAAAGAGCGAAGCCAGGCGCAUCAGGGUGUCCAGAGCAGAGUCUCAGCCUGGGCCUCCUUGGAACCCCAUCAGGAGAGUUUUAAAAUGCCGCUGACCGGGGCCGCCCCAGACAGAGGGCGCUCGCAUCCCUAAGGUGCAGUCUGGACGCAGUACUCUUGGAAGGC
This 594-nucleotide long non-coding RNA is filed under the name Marmota monax (woodchuck). Lineage: Eukaryota; Metazoa; Chordata; Mammalia; Rodentia; Sciuridae. The record is from RNAcentral.